UGAAUACGAGACGCUACGGCGUCGAAGCAGUCUAUGUCAUACUUCCAAGAAAAGCUCGCAAUGUCAUAAACAAAUAAUGCCUGUACCAUAACCGACACAGGUGGGUAGGUAGAGUAUACUAAGGGGCGCGGGAUAACUCUCUCUAAGGAACUCGGCAAAAUGACUCCGUAACUUCGGGAGAAGGAGUGCCUUAUUUAUAAGGUUGCAAUAACAAGAUCCAAGCAACUGUUUAUCAAAAACACAGGUCUCCGCUAAGUCGUAAGACGAUGUAUGGGGGCUGACGCCUGCCCAGUGCCAGAAGGUUAAAGAAGUUGGUUAGCAUUCGCGAAGCUGAUAACUGAAGCCCUGGUGAACGGCGGCCGUAACGAUAACGGUCCUAAGGUAGCGAAAUUCCUUGUCGGGUAAGUUCCGACCCGCACGAAAGGCGUAAUGAUUUGGAUACUGUCUCGGAGAGGGGCUCGGUGAAAUAGACUUGUCUGUGAAGAUGCGGACUACCUGCACCUGGACAGAAAGACCCUAUGAAGCUUUACUGUAACUUGAAAUUGAAAUUGGACUUUAUUUGCGCAGCAUAGGUGGGAGGCGUUGAGAGUAUUCUUGCGGGAAUAUUGGAGCCAUCAGUGAGAUACCACUCUUGUAAUGUUAGAUUUCUAACUUUGGAUCAUUAUCUGGUCAAAGAACAGUUUCAGGCGGGCAGUUUGACUGGGGCGGUCGCCUCCCAAAUGGUAACGGAGGCGUACAAAGGUUUCCUCUGAACGGGUAGAAAUCGUAUCUAGAGUGUAAAGGCAUAAGGAAGCUUGACUGUGAGACCUACAAGUCGAGCAGGGACGAAAGUCGGUCUUAGUGAUCUGACGGUGCUGAGUGGAAAGGCCGUCACUCAACGGAUAAAAGUUACUCUAGGAUAACAGGCUGAUCUCCCCCAAGAGUUCACAUCGACGGGGAGGUUUGGCACCUCGAUGUCGGCUCAUCGCAUCCUGGGGCGGUAGUACGUCCCAAGGGUUGGGCUGUUCGCCCAUGAAAGCAGUACGCGAGCUGGGUUCAGAACGUCGUGAGACAGUUCGGUCCAUAUCCGGUGUAGGCGUUAGAAUAUUGAGAGGAGCCUUCUUUAGUACGAGAGGACCGAGAAGGACAUACCUUUGGUGUACCAGUUAUCGUGCCAACGGUAAACGCUGGGUAGCUAUGUAUGGAGAGGAUAACCGCUGAAAGCAUCUAAGUGGGAAGCCCACCUCAAGAUAAGUAUUCUCA
This 1242-nucleotide ribosomal RNA is filed under the name metagenome. RNAcentral's name for it is "bacterial LSU rRNA". It matches the Rfam family "Bacterial large subunit ribosomal RNA", at positions 1564 to 2816 of the family's 2925-position model. The record is from RNAcentral.